This is a long non-coding RNA of Triplophysa dalaica, 1176 nucleotides long. RefSeq lists it as uncharacterized. NCBI's taxonomy places the organism in Eukaryota, Metazoa, Chordata, Actinopteri, Cypriniformes, Nemacheilidae. The record is from RefSeq and is a predicted model, not a curated record. The transcript is spliced from 4 exons.
UAAAAACUACAGCGUUAUUUUACAGAAGCUGACUGUAUUUUAAAUAAUACAGAAUAUUGCUGUAAAGUGCAAUGCAUUCUGGGGUCACGUGACGGAUUAACUCAAUGUACAGAAUAUUGCUGUAAAUUUCAAAUCUACAAUGGCGGGAUGAUUUUCAACAGUCGAGAUUGGGGUAGUGCGCAAAAUGAAUGAUUCACACCUGUGGUAACUUAUCACGUAUUUUUUUUCCAUAUUUGGUAACUAUCAUACUGGUAACUUUAUAUAGAGGUAUCUAAAUUCGCGGUUCAUAUUGCUAACCCCGGAUUCAACCUCCAUCCGCGGGGACCGAAGGAGUCUUGCGGGGUUUCAGCAGCGCCGUCGCGGACACACUUUGCUAUGCAGGCCACUGGAUACUGACUACUGAAGGUUAGGUUGUGUGUGACGGUGCUCAGCACAGCUUCAUGUCUGGCCUUCCCACUCUGUUCAUAGCAUGUUACAUAUUCAAUCUUGAGUACCAGGAUGGGGCAGCAUGUACUUGGAGUCCAAUGAAAGUUUUUCCUGACUCUUUGUGGAUAUUAAUCCAGAGAGUGGAACAAGAAGCGUCAUCUAAAAUGCCAGGAUACAGAAGAAACAGGUUGCAGUGAACCCACAUGUCGCCGCUCUUCUAAACACAAUGAUGAAUAUUCAGUGUAAUCGAUGAAAAUUCCAGCUACUUGUUGUGCUCUGAUGGAUCAAGAUGUGGACCGUUUUACAGACUCACUUGGGCCUUGUUUUGCAAUGUUGUUUCAUGAUGGUAAUGUUGGUUAACGUGUUGUUUAAACAUGAAUGUUUAAAGAGCCAUGUUGUAUACUAUGAAGUUCUUACUGAAUAAAAUUAUUUCAUGUACAACAACGUACACAAUUUGUCUGUAAUGUAUUUUUGUAUCAAUUAAAAAAAAAUAAACACUGUAUAUCCAGUAUGCAAAACAUACUGGAUAUACAGUGAUUUAUGUAUUUCUUCUAAAUAAAGUAAAUUAAAAUCAAGCAAUUUGCUGUAAAAAAUACAGCAUUAUACUGUUGCUAUUCAAAAUUACAGUUUUUCCUGUAUUCUGCAAUUACAGUAAAUGGCUGUAAAUUAAAUUACAGUACUGUGGCUGUACAAUUUACAGUAACUGGCUGGCAACCCUGCUGCCAGUAGUUUACUGUAAAUUUUACAGGA